RNAcentral lists this ribosomal RNA (312 nucleotides) under uncultured eukaryote. RNAcentral's name for it is "partial 18S ribosomal RNA". It matches the Rfam family "Eukaryotic small subunit ribosomal RNA", at positions 1470 to 1796 of the family's 1831-position model. The record is from RNAcentral.
CCCUUAGAUGUCCUGGGCGGCCCGCGCGCUACAAUGUCAGCUACUGAAGGUUAAUGCUUUGAAAGAGAGCGCGCUCUCCUUUUAAUUGCUCGCAUGCUGGGAUAAAUGAAUGCAAUUUUGUUUUGAACGAGGAAUUCCUAGUAGCCAUGUUUCACUAGAAGAUGGCGAAUGCGUCCCUGCCCUUUGUACACACCGUCCGUCGCUCCUACCGAUGAGCGUUUUGGCGAAGACGGUUUGAGUAGCUGCGUAAUUUCGUGUUGUUGACUCCGGCAGUUUGAGCCUUCACGUUUAGAGGAAGGAGAAGUCGUAACA